RNAcentral lists this ribosomal RNA (253 nucleotides) under uncultured bacterium. RNAcentral describes it as "partial 16S ribosomal RNA". It matches the Rfam family "Bacterial small subunit ribosomal RNA", at positions 524 to 776 of the family's 1533-position model. The record is from RNAcentral.
UACAGAGGGUGCGAGCGUUGUUCGGAAUUACUGGGCGUAAAGGGUUCGUAGGUGGCCAACUAAGUCAGACGUGAAAUCCCUCAGCUUAACUGGGGAACUGCGUCUGAUACUGGAUGGCUUGAGUGUAGGAGAGGAAUGCGGAAUUCCAGGUGUAGCGGUGAAAUGCGUAGAUAUCUGGAGGAACACCGGUGGCGAAGGCGGCAUUCUGGACUACAACUGACACUGAGGAACGAAAGCCAGGGGAGCAAACGGG